RNAcentral lists this ribosomal RNA (300 nucleotides) under uncultured Veillonella sp. RNAcentral's name for it is "bacterial SSU rRNA". It matches the Rfam family "Bacterial small subunit ribosomal RNA", at positions 496 to 795 of the family's 1533-position model. The record is from RNAcentral. Lineage: Bacteria; Bacillati; Bacillota; Negativicutes; Veillonellales; Veillonellaceae.
GCUAGUGCCGAGCAGCAAGCCGGGGAAGAGCGGAGGGGGUGAGGCUGGUGCGGAAGCACUGGGAGUAAGUGGCACGUAUGCGGUUUGCUAAGUAAAGGGGGAAAGCCUGGGGGGCAAGUCCAGAACUGCCCUUGAUACUGGCAAACUCGAGGCGGUGAGAGGGGAAGGGAACUGAGAGUGUAGGGGUGAAAUUCGUAGAUAUUCGCAAGAACACCAGUGGCGAAGGGGGCUCACUGGCGCGGUACUGACGCUGAGGUGCGAAAGCGUGGGGAGCAAACAGGAUUAGAUACCCGUGUAGUC